This 471-nucleotide ribosomal RNA is filed under the name uncultured bacterium. RNAcentral's name for it is "bacterial SSU rRNA". It matches the Rfam family "Bacterial small subunit ribosomal RNA", at positions 96 to 578 of the family's 1533-position model. The record is from RNAcentral.
UGGCGGACCGGGUGAGUAUGAAUCGCCUAAUGUACCCCGGACUCCGGGAUAGCUGCCCGAAAGGGCAGGUAAUACCGGAUGAGACCACAGGCAGGCAUCUGCCGGUGCUCAAAGGUCCGCCGGUCCGGGCACAGGCGAUUUCGUAUCAGCUAGUUGGUGCCGGGUAACGGCCCACCAAGGCGAUGACGCGUAACUGGUCUGAGAGGACGGCCAGUCACAUCGGGACUGAAGACACUGCCCGGACUCCUACGGGGGGCUGCAGUAACGAAUCUUCCCCAAUGGGCGCAAGCCUGAGGGAGCNACGCCGCGUGUAGGACGAAGUCCUUCGGGAUGUAAACUACUGUCAGGGGCAACCAAGUUCUGAGGUUGCCCCCAGAGGAAGAGGCGGCUAACUCUGUGCCAGCAGCCGCGGUAAUACAGAGGCCUCGAGCGUUAGGCGGAAUCAACUGGGCUUAAAGCGCGUGUAGGCGG